This 528-nucleotide ribosomal RNA is filed under the name Sclerotinia sclerotiorum. RNAcentral describes it as "eukaryotic LSU rRNA". The stretch from base 187 to 340 matches the Rfam family "5.8S ribosomal RNA". The record is from RNAcentral. Lineage: Eukaryota; Fungi; Ascomycota; Leotiomycetes; Helotiales; Sclerotiniaceae.
CAAGGUUUCCGUAGGUGAACCUGCGGAAGGAUCAUUACAGAGUUCAUGCCCGAAAGGGUAGACCUCCCACCCUUGUGUAUUAUUACUUUGUUGCUUUGGCGAGCUGCUCUUCGGGGCCUUGUAUGCUCGCCAGAGAAUAUCAAAACUCUUUUUAUUAAUGUCGUCUGAGUACUAUAUAAUAGUUAAAACUUUCAACAACGGAUCUCUUGGUUCUGGCAUCGAUGAAGAACGCAGCGAAAUGCGAUAAGUAAUGUGAAUUGCAGAAUUCAGUGAAUCAUCGAAUCUUUGAACGCACAUUGCGCCCCUUGGUAUUCCGGGGGGCAUGCCUGUUCGAGCGUCAUUUCAACCCUCAAGCUCAGCUUGGUAUUGAGUCCAUGUCAGUAAUGGCAGGCUCUAAAAUCAGUGGCGGCGCCCUGGGUCCUGAACGUAGUAAUAUCUCUCGUUACAGGUUCUCGGUGUGCUUCUGCCAAAACCCAAAUUUUCUAUGGUUGACCUCGGAUCAGGUAGGGAUACCCGCUGAACUUAAGC